RNAcentral lists this non-coding RNA (21 nucleotides) under Caenorhabditis elegans. The record is from RNAcentral. Lineage: Eukaryota; Metazoa; Nematoda; Chromadorea; Rhabditida; Rhabditidae.
UUUCAUUAUUAUCUAAUCCUU